CUUUUUUUUUUUUAACUAGCGGAGCCAUUCUUUGGCUUCCUUCAGUAUUCUGUCUGUUCUAGAAUUGCUUUGUUUUGUUCAGACAGGGUCUCAUGUAGCCCUGGCUGAUCUCAAAAUUGCUAUGUAGCCAAAGAUGACCCUGAACUUUUGAUCUCCCUCCCCCCCUGAGUGCUGGAAUGACCAGCUUGCACCAGCACACCCAGUUUACCAGCACAAGGCGUGGAAUCCGGGCAUCAGGCAGGCAUGCUUGGCUGUCCAGCAGAUCAAAGGACACAAGAUACAACACCAGGAAAUAAGUCUGACCUGCGCAAGCAGCAAGCAGCAAGCAGCAAGCAGCAAGCAGCAAGAAGCACACAAGGCUGUGAUUUGCGACAUGCUAGAUGAGUUGGUUACCUGUUAUUCUUCCUGCUUUCCUCUUAAAGAUUGCUUGUAUCGUAUGCCUUCGUCUCAUUUUAAAAAGCUGCCUAUGAGCACAUACUGCAUAUCAGAUUUUCAUUGGAACUUGAAAAGCCACCCACAGACUUCUGUUUUCCCCGAUACUGCUUUUCACUGAACUUAUCACAUCAACAUUGCAUGAUAACAUCAUUUCCUGUCUUCUCCUGUGAAUACAGAAGCUUUGGGACAGCCAUGCUUUCAACGGAAUGAAAUCUCAUAAGUUAAAAUGAACAAUUGUUUGAUUUCUGUAAGUGAGCAGUAUCCACAGGCAACAAGAUGUGGACGCUUCAGGUAGAGAAUUUGCUCACGGAUAUCAAGUGCCUGCUACACAGUAGAUGCUCAAUAAAUGUUCGCUGGGUGAGGUCA
RNAcentral lists this long non-coding RNA (801 nucleotides) under Meriones unguiculatus (Mongolian gerbil). Its description in RNAcentral is "lncRNA (ENSMUGG00000026709.1)". Lineage: Eukaryota; Metazoa; Chordata; Mammalia; Rodentia; Muridae. The record is from RNAcentral.